GCCAGAACCUGGUGGGUUUAAAAAUGAAAAGAAUAAUCAUCUCAUGAACAGGAGCCCUGAGCUUCAUAGAAAGAAGAUGAGGGAGGCAGCUGCUCUCAUCUCCUUCUGCAUCCUGAACCAGGCACAAGGGAGGCGGCUGCCUCACUUUGCUGCCAUAAUUUUCCCGCCAUGAUCGACUGUCCCCUCCAAGCGGCUUCUGGUCAAGUAUUUGGUGAAAGAAAUGUAAGAAGCAAUCUGGAAAUAUGCUUCCAAAUGGGUAAAAAUAAACAAAGAUUCAGACAUCUCAGCAAAACUGGAAGCCAAGAAAUCAAAAGAAACCUUCGGACAACUGGAAAAAGCUUGAUCCUUGUAAGAAGCAAGCUCAUGUGUGUGCCCCAGUAGGAGUGGGGGGGAGGGGGGAGAGACCAAAGGGCUUUGACCCUGUGGCCCUCCGCAUCACAGGUGUUCCGAGCAUCUGUGGACAAAGCUGAAGCUGGAAGGAAGCAGAAUGUACCCAUCAAAGCUCUUCCCAUCACCGCCAUUUAUUAAAGAGAGGCAGUAAACAAA
RNAcentral lists this long non-coding RNA (546 nucleotides) under Mus caroli (Ryukyu mouse). RNAcentral describes it as "RIKEN cDNA 4930449E01 gene (MGP_CAROLIEiJ_G0013415.1)". Lineage: Eukaryota; Metazoa; Chordata; Mammalia; Rodentia; Muridae. The record is from RNAcentral.